Molecule: ribosomal RNA, 364 nt
Filed under: uncultured bacterium
Lineage: Bacteria
Description: bacterial SSU rRNA
Rfam family: Bacterial small subunit ribosomal RNA
Source: RNAcentral
AGAGUUUGAUCAUGGCUCAGGAUGAACGCUAGCUACAGGCUUAACACAUGCAAGUCGAGGGGAAACGGACAUCGAAAGCUUGCUUUUGUAUGGGCGUCGACCGGCGCACGGGUGAGUAACGCGUAUCCAACCUGCCCACCCACUUGGGGAGUAACCUUGCGAAAGUAAGACUAAUACCCAACUGAUAUCUCUAGAAGACAUCUGAAAGAGAUUAAAGAUUUAUCGGUGAUGGAUGGGGAGUGCGUCUGAUUAGCUUGUUGGCGGGGUAACGGGCCCACCCAAGGCAACGAUCAGUAGGGGUUCUGAGAGGAAGGUCCCCCACAUUGGAACUGAGACACGGUCCAAACUCCUACGGGAGGCAGCA